Molecule: small nucleolar RNA, 121 nt
Organism: Phyllostomus hastatus (greater spear-nosed bat)
Lineage: Eukaryota; Metazoa; Chordata; Mammalia; Chiroptera; Phyllostomidae
Product: small nucleolar RNA SNORA14
Exons: 1
Source: RefSeq, a predicted model, not a curated record
CUGCGCUCUCACGCCCUCUUGGUGCUUCCGCGGUACGAGUGAGCGCCGUGGAGGCUGCAGGGAGGCCAGGGGGCCGGGCUGCUCUCCUGGGGCUCAGUCUCACUUCAUGCCUGCGACAUCU